Molecule: long non-coding RNA, 1835 nt
Organism: Equus asinus (donkey)
Lineage: Eukaryota; Metazoa; Chordata; Mammalia; Perissodactyla; Equidae
Source: Ensembl
GUUGUUAGCUGAUAUCCAUGGCAGCUGCAGUGGCAGCGGCAGGGGCCGUGUGUGUGAGUGUGUGCACUAGUUGUACUGGACUGGCAGGAGGGGAGGGGGCAGGGGGGCGGGAGCAGGCUGGAGGGGGAGCAGGGCCGCGCGCGCGCGCGCCGGGUGGGGAGCCGCUCCGCCGCCGUCUCUCUCGCUGGCUCGCUCCCUCCCUCCCUCCGCAGCUUGACCCGGUAGUGAAGGCGGGGAGAGAGGCAGGCUGGGUCCGCCUGGCGGCCUCCGCGAGGAGGCGGGAGCGGAGAGGAGGGCCCCGAGGCCCGCGCGGGGAGGCCGCAGGGAGGGCGGCGGGGCUGCGCGCCCAGGACCCCCGCCUCCCCCGGUGCGGCCCGGGCUGCGGCGACGCGUCGUGGCCUGGACGAGGGGCGCCGGGGCCAGCGCUGCGGCUGUCGGUCCGGGGGUCCUCCUGCGAGGUCCUCCUGCGGGGUCCUGCGGGAUGCAGGGGCCGAGCUGGCGGCGGGCGCGGGACUGCGGGGCGGGCCUGGGCGCAGGAGUUCCCAACUGCGACAGGCUCUGCCUCCCCGUGUGGACGGACCCGACGCCGAGUUUGCAGAACGCCCCUCCGAGGAGCGGGAAGUUGCGGAGAGCCGGGGACCGCGCGGCGCGGGGCGGGCAGCCGGCAGCAUCCCCCGGGCGGGGCUGUCUGGAGAAAGGCGACGCCGGGGAGCGAGGGCAAGGGGCUUCGCUUUUCCGUGUGAGGGGAAACGGAAAGAAAGGGGCUGCGGGUCGGGGUGGGGCAGCAGGGAGCAGCCCCCUCGGAGCAGAGGACCCUUUAACCCGGGACCUGCGGUGGAGACGGCAGGGGCACACCCUCGGCCAGCAAAGCCCGCAGACUCGGGGUUGUAACCUGGGAAGAAGCCUUAGGAUGACCCUGCCGGCCAAGGUCCUGUGACAGAGAAGGCAAAGACGGCUCCGAGGGUGAGCACAGAGGCAGCACCGGAGCUGGAACUCAGCUCGCUGCCCGCAGCCGGCGCCUCUCCCUUCACCGAGUUUGCAGUCGCGAGGAGAGGAGCACAGUCUACGGGGACUGUUGAUGAGCCAAGAAGUGUCGUUGGCGGAGAUGUAGAAAGGAGAGAACAGAGAGAAUCCAAGGAUCUUAAUGGAAGAAUUACAGCAAGAUGAGGAGCAAACUCGAAAGUCAGCGUAGAGAUGGACAAGGCUGAAGCAUUCAGUGAAGAGAUUUCACGCUCCUUUUCUCCGUGUUGCUGAUCUCAAUAAGAGGAAAGAAAGGCUUAAGAUGGAAGAUAUCGUGGGAGAAAAUCCCAGAAACUGGAGAACUUGUUCAAAUUCGAGUUGAAGAUCCAGAUGGAAAAAUUUUGCCACAUUCCUUCAGACUUCUUCAGGAUGUGCCAGAUGUGCACCAUCAUUCAGCAAUCAAAUGCUUAAAUUAUGCACUGUAGACCAUCAGCAAAUAAUUUUAUUUAGAGUAAAUCAUUAAUUCUGUGGUGGCAGCAGCAAUGCUAAAGAAAGACAUUGGCGGUCCUCAGAGGCUGGCCACAGGAAGGAGACUUUGGCAGAGAGGGGAUAGGAUGAGCUGAGACCGGAGUGAAAUGCUACAGCCGAAAUUGUGGCGUGUGCUUAUGGUAAAGUGAAGAGAGCAGGUCGGCUGACUCCUUAAUGACAUCUUCCCCCUGAGGAUCAGUGUCCUCUUCGGGAUAAGCCGUUGAGGGAAGAACACGAAGACUUUGCAUCCAUCUUUGUCAUUCUCAUUCAUAGUCAUAGACUUCACACUUGGCUUGUCUGCUUUCCCAGAAGAGGGAUUCCUCUUGCUUGAAAAAUCUUAAAAUUCC